GACGAACGCUGGCGGCGUGCUUAACACAUGCAAGUCGAACGGUAAGGCCCUUCGGGGUGCACGAGUGGCGAACGGGUGAGUAACACGUGGGUGAUCUGCCCUGCACUUCGGGAUAAGCCUGGGAAACUGGGUCUAAUACCGGAUGGGACUCCGGACUGCAUGGUCUGGGGUGGAAAGCUUUUGCGGUGUGGGAUGGGCCCGCGGCCUAUCAGCUUGUUGGUGGGGUGAUGGCCUACCAAGGCGACGACGGGUAGCCGGCCUGAGAGGGUGACCGGCCACACUGGAACAGAGAUACGGCCCAGACUCCUACGGGAGGCAGCAGUGGGGAAUAUUGCUCAAUGGGCGCAAGCCUGAUGCAGCGACGCCGCGUGAGGGAUGACGGCCUUCGGGUUGUAAACCUCUUUCAGCAUCGACGAAGCGAAAGUGACGGUAGGUGCAGAAGAAGGACCGGCCGACUACGUGCCAGCAGCCGCAGUAA
RNAcentral lists this ribosomal RNA (478 nucleotides) under uncultured bacterium. Its description in RNAcentral is "partial 16S ribosomal RNA". It matches the Rfam family "Bacterial small subunit ribosomal RNA", at positions 28 to 523 of the family's 1533-position model. The record is from RNAcentral.